GUCAGUUCGUACUGUGAAGCAUCCUGUUAAGUCAGGCAACGAGCGAGACCCACGCCCACAGUUGCCAGCGUACUCUCUGGAGUGACGGGUACACGUGUGGGGACCCGCCGCUGGCUAAAGCGGAGGAAGGAAUGGGCAACGGUAGGUCAGUAUGCCCCGAAUAUCCCGGGCUACACGCGAGCUACAAUGGUUGGUACAAUGGGUAUCUACCCCGAAAGGGGACGGGAAUCUCCUAAACCAAUCUUAGUUCGGAUUGAGGGCUGCAACUCGCCCUCAUGAAGCUGGAAUCCGUAGUAAUCGCGUUUCAACAGAACGCGGUGAAUACGUCCCUGCCUCCUU
RNAcentral lists this ribosomal RNA (339 nucleotides) under uncultured Methanosaeta sp. Its description in RNAcentral is "bacterial SSU rRNA". It matches the Rfam family "Archaeal small subunit ribosomal RNA", at positions 1003 to 1338 of the family's 1478-position model. Lineage: Archaea; Methanobacteriati; Methanobacteriota; Methanomicrobia; Methanotrichales; Methanotrichaceae. The record is from RNAcentral.